CCCAGCUUGCUGGGUGGAUCAGUGGCGAACGGGUGAGUAACACGUGAGCAACCUGCCCUCCACUUCGGGAUAAGCCUUGGAAACGGGGUCUAAUACCGGAUAUGAGCGCCUGCCGCAUGGUGGGUGUUGGAAAGUUUUUCGGUGGGGGAUGGGCUCGCGGCCUAUCAGCUUGUUGGUGGGGUGAUGGCCUACCAAGGCUUCGACGGGUAGCCGGCCUGAGAGGGCGACCGGCCACACUGGGACUGAGACACGGCCCAGACUCCUACGGGAGGCAGCAGUGGGGAAUAUUGCACAAUGGGCGCAAGCCUGAUGCAGCGACGCCGCGUGAGGGAUGACGGCCUUCGGGUUGUAAACCUCUUUCAGCAGGGAAGAAGCGCAAGUGACGGUACCUGCAGAAGAAGCGCCGGCUAACUACGUGCCAGCAGCCGCGGUAAUACGUAGGGCGCAAGCGUUGUCCGGAAUUAUUGGGCGUAAAGAGCUCGUAGGCGGUCUGUCGCGUCUGGUGUGAAAACCCGAGGCUCAACCUCGGGCUUGCAUCGGGUACGGGCAGACUAGAGUGCGGUAGGGGAGACUGGAAUUCCUGGU
RNAcentral lists this ribosomal RNA (585 nucleotides) under bacterium. Its description in RNAcentral is "bacterial SSU rRNA". It matches the Rfam family "Bacterial small subunit ribosomal RNA", at positions 74 to 674 of the family's 1533-position model. The record is from RNAcentral.